CCUACGGGAGACAGCAGUGAGGAAUAUUGGUCAAUGGGCGCGAGCCUGAACCAGCCAAGUAGCGUGAAGGAUGACUGCUCUAUGGGUUGUAAACUUCUUUUAUAAAGGAAUAAAGUGAGGCACGUGUGUCUUUUUGCAUGUACUUUAUGAAUAAGGAUCGGCUAACUCCGUGCCAGCAGCCGCGGUAAUACGGAGGAUCCGAGCGUUAUCCGGAUUUAUUGGGUUUAAAGGGAGCGUAGAUGGGUUGUUAAGUCAGUUGUGAAAGUUUGCGGCUCAACCGUAAAAUUGCCAUUGAUACUGGUAGUCUUGAGUGCAGUUGAGGUAGGCGGAAUUCGUGGUGUAGCGGUGAAAUGCUUAGAUAUCACGAAGAACACCGAUUGCGAAGGCAGCUUACUAAGCUGCCACUGACAUUGAUGCUCGAAAGUGUGGGUAGCAAACAGGAUUAGAUACCCUAGUAGUC
RNAcentral lists this ribosomal RNA (460 nucleotides) under uncultured bacterium. Its description in RNAcentral is "partial 16S ribosomal RNA". It matches the Rfam family "Bacterial small subunit ribosomal RNA", at positions 338 to 795 of the family's 1533-position model. The record is from RNAcentral.